AUGGUGUUGCUUGACAUUAGGGGUAUGUUGCAGUCCAUGGGUAAAGACAUUGUUGAUUUCGCUCUUCCAAGCAUAGAUGAUGUGUUUGACCCAACAGAGGGCGAGGCAAGAGAGAUCAUCGAGGAAUGAACCGUUGAGUUUGACAUGGAUGACACUAAAUUGGCAUCUUCCCUGAACUUGGAGCAGAGGGCCGCAUACGACGGGAUAUUAGGGGCUGUUGAACGCGGUGAUGGGGGUGUAUUCUUUGUUGAUGGCCCUGGAGGUAGAGGGAAGACAUUCCUAUAUAGGGUGAUGCUUGCCAAGGUGAGGAGCGAGGGCAAGAUUGGUAUCGCUACCGCGACGUCGGGCGUCGCCGCUUCUAUCAUGCCUGGCGGCAGGACAACCCACUCAAGGUUCAAGAUCCCAUUA
Molecule: ribosomal RNA, 408 nt
Filed under: Triticum aestivum (bread wheat)
Lineage: Eukaryota; Viridiplantae; Streptophyta; Magnoliopsida; Poales; Poaceae
Description: partial small subunit ribosomal RNA
Source: RNAcentral